Molecule: transfer RNA, 72 nt
Filed under: Caudoviricetes sp.
Lineage: Duplodnaviria; Heunggongvirae; Uroviricota; Caudoviricetes
Description: tRNA-Pro
Rfam family: tRNA
About the family: Transfer RNA (tRNA) molecules are approximately 80 nucleotides in length. Their secondary structure includes four short double-helical elements and three loops (D, anti-codon, and T loops). Further hydrogen bonds mediate the characteristic L-shaped molecular structure. tRNAs have two regions of fundamental functional importance: the anti-codon, which is responsible for specific mRNA codon recognition, and the 3' end, to which the tRNAs corresponding amino acid is attached (by aminoacyl-tRNA synthetases). tRNAs cope with the degeneracy of the genetic code in two manners: having more than one tRNA (with a specific anti-codon) for a particular amino acid; and 'wobble' base-pairing, i.e. permitting non-standard base-pairing at the 3rd anti-codon position.
Source: RNAcentral
CGGAAUGUAGCGCAGUGGUAGCGCACCUGGUUUGGGACCAGGGGGCCGUGAGUUCGAGUCUCACCAUUCCGA